RNAcentral lists this long non-coding RNA (1504 nucleotides) under Solanum lycopersicum (tomato). RNAcentral's name for it is "partial TCONS_00189662". The record is from RNAcentral. Lineage: Eukaryota; Viridiplantae; Streptophyta; Magnoliopsida; Solanales; Solanaceae.
CACGAGAAUCAUCCCAGCCGUCUGUCGCCCUUUCCUCUUCCCGAAAGGGUCCAAAUUUCAGAAAAAAGGGUGUUUCCCUUUAACAGUGAACUUUUUCGAAUUUGAAUCGAGGAUGAGCCCUUGAAUUCGGGGAAUCCAUCCUCCCCCCUCCCCCUCAAAUAUUCUAGACCAUAAUUUCCCCUAUGUAUAACAUCUUUUUUUCACUGUGAGGGAGGGAGGAAAUUUUUGAAAAACAAAAGGGAGUUACUAGAUAUUGUCGAGUUUGGAGAUUUUAGUGGAGAAAAUUGUUAAAGGUUUUAGUUUGAAGUUGGAUUCUUAGGAAAAGAAAAUACUUAUAAAGUUUCAGUGAGAUAGCCUAAGAUAAGUAAAACAGGUUUUCAAAGAAAACGGAGGAAGAACUCUUUAAUUUAGGUGUUGAGUUCGAUAUUUUGCUUAAGUUCUCAACUGCUGCUCGUGUUUAGGUUCUUGUGGUGGUCGUCCCCUGUCCGUUUGUCUCAAAACGCUUUGCGAAAAAAGGUCCCAAGUUGAAAGGAUUCAAACAGAUUAAGAAGUUGAAGAAAUUGGACAAAAGAGUCCAACUUUAUUUUUUUUCAGAGCGUUGUAUUUUGUUAUCGUUGGGCCUAAGCCCUUGUUGUCUUUUCUUUUCCGUAUUCAUUAUUUACAGAUUGUCUAAUUAGUCUAGGAUAGGUACAAAAUGAAAUGGGUCGAAAUACCGGUCUAGAUAGACAGAAAGUGGAUUUGGACCCAACUCUCUCUCUCUCUCUCUUUUACUUUAUCACUUACUUAUCUGUAGUUAAUUUCUGUUAGUCUUAGGAUUAAAAAAAUCAAAUCCUCCGCAAGACGUUAUUUCGUUUUAAUAAUUCAAUGAAAUCAAUCAUGUCUAUAUAUUUUAAAACAAUAGGAAUUUUGUAAGUUAAAAAGUCUCACUUAGAUAAUAGUUUAAUAUCUCUCUUUUUACAAAUUCUAAAUAAUUUUUCAAUUCUAACUAAGUUAAAUCUUUUAGCCAAACAUUUUAGUUUUUGGAUAAUCGGAGUAACGCGAGUAUUUUAGGUCUCAUAAAAAUCUUCCUAAAAUAUUAAUAAGAGCCCUUGAAUCCUGUUUAACGUUUUUGAUCAAUUUCGUGUUUUGAUCUUUUGAAAACAAAGGUUUCUUGAUUUUUCUAAAAUUAAGUGGCGACUCUCAAAAUCAAAUCUAAAAUCACUAAAAAUAUUUUUCUUUUAAAUAAAACAGAAUUCUAGCUUCUUUUCUUUCUCAAAAUGUGAAAACAUUUAUAAUUUUAGGGACUACUUAGUUCCCUUGUAGCUUUUGAGAAAUAAACUCACACUUUGCUCUUUACUUUACUUGAAACUUAACUUUUAGGGAAUACUUAGUUCCUUUAUAACUUUUGAGAUUAAAACUAAUCUCAUUACUCUUUGUUCAACUUGUAUCAUGAUCCUUAAAACAAUGUUAAAAUGUUUUUUUUAAGACUACUGAAAACUUUUUAAAAAACUCACUUUGACUUGUG